This 645-nucleotide ribosomal RNA is filed under the name Glycyphana binotata. RNAcentral's name for it is "LSU rRNA". It matches the Rfam family "Eukaryotic large subunit ribosomal RNA", at positions 663 to 1265 of the family's 3401-position model. The record is from RNAcentral. Lineage: Eukaryota; Metazoa; Arthropoda; Insecta; Coleoptera; Scarabaeidae.
GGACCAAGGAGUCUAGCAUGUGCGCGAGUCAUUGGGACUCUAACGAAACCUAAAGGCGUAAUGAAAGUAAAGGCCCGCCUAGCGCGGGCCGAGGGAGGAUGGGUGUCCCCGAGGGGACGCCUCGCACUCCCAGGGCGUCUCGUUCUCAUUGCGAGAAGAGGCGCACCAAGAGCGUACACGCUGGGACCCGAAAGAUGGUGAACUAUGCCUGGUCAGGACGAAGUCAGGGGAAACCCUGAUGGAGGUCCGUAGCGAUUCUGACGUGCAAAUCGAUCGUCGGAACUGGGUAUAGGGGCGAAAGACUAAUCGAACCAUCUAGUAGCUGGUUCCCUCCGAAGUUUCCCUCAGGAUAGCUGGCGCUCGCUUCUCGCGAGUCUCAUUCGGUAAAGCGAAUGAUUAGAGGCAUUGGGGUCGAAACGGCCUCAACCUAUUCUCAAACUUUAAAUGGGUGAGAUCUCCGGCUUGCUUGAACUGUGAAGCCGCGAGAUAUCGGAUCAGAGUGCCAAGUGGGCCACUUUUGGUAAGCAGAACUGGCGCUGUGGGAUGAACCAAACGCUGAGUUAAAGCGCCUAAAUCGACGCUUAUGGGAUACCAUGAAAGGCGUUGGUAACUUAAGACAGCAGGACGGUGGCCAUGGAAGUCGGA